AGACCCGAAACCCGGUGAUCUAGCCAUGGGCAGGUUGAAGGUUGGGUAACACUAACUGGAGGACCGAACCGACUAAUGUUGAAAAAUUAGCGGAUGACCUGUGGCUGGGGGUGAAAGGCCAAUCAAACCGGGAGAUAGCUGGUUCUCCCCGAAAGCUAUUUAGGUAGCGCCUCGUGAAUUCAUCUCCGGGGGUAGAGCACUGUUUCGGCUAGGGGGCCAUCCCGGCUUACCAACCCGAUGCAAACUGCGAAUACCGGAGAAUGUUAUCACGGGAGACACACGGCGGGUGCUAACGUCCGUCGUGAAGAGGGAAACAACCCAGACCGCCAGCUAAGGUCCCAAAGUCAUGGUUAAGUGGGAAACGAUGUGGGAAGGCCCAGACAGCCAGGAUGUUGGCUUAGAAGCAGCCAUCAUUUAAAGAAAGCGUAAUAGCUCACUGGUCGAGUCGGCCUGCGCGGAAGAUGUAACGGGGCUAAACCAUGCACCGAAGCUGCGGCAGCGAACGUAUCACUUAAAGCGAUUCAGCGGGUUACGAUUGACGGAGCGAAGCGACGUCAAAGCGUAUACAAAGUCGAGUCGGUUUAAGGAUACGUUCGUUGGGUAGGGGAGCGUUCUGUAAGCCUGCGAAGGUGGCCUGUGAGGGUUGCUGGAGGUAUCAGAAGUGCGAAUGCUGACAUAAGUAACGAUAAAGCGGGUGAAAAGCCCGCUCGCCGGAAGACCAAGGGUUCCUGUCC
Molecule: ribosomal RNA, 734 nt
Filed under: Salmonella enterica subsp. enterica serovar Thompson
Lineage: Bacteria; Pseudomonadati; Pseudomonadota; Gammaproteobacteria; Enterobacterales; Enterobacteriaceae
Also listed under: 2 other names
Description: partial 23S ribosomal RNA
Rfam family: Bacterial large subunit ribosomal RNA
Source: RNAcentral